RNAcentral lists this ribosomal RNA (1950 nucleotides) under human gut metagenome. Its description in RNAcentral is "bacterial LSU rRNA". It matches the Rfam family "Bacterial large subunit ribosomal RNA", at positions 1 to 1989 of the family's 2925-position model. The record is from RNAcentral.
UUAAAGUAGUAAGGGCGCAGGGUGGAUGCCUUGGCACUAAGAGCCGAUGAAAGACGUGAUAAGCUGCGAAAAGCUUCGGGGAGGAGCACAUAUCCAAUGAUCCGGAGAUAUCUGAAUGGGGAAACCCGGCAGAGGAAACCUCUGUCAGCGUGCAGUGAAUACAUAGCUGUACGUGGGGAACCCGGGGAACUGAAACAUCUAAGUACCCGGAGGAAGAGAAAGAAAAUUUAUCGAUUUCCAAAGUAGCGGCGAGCGAAAUGGAAAGAGCCCAAACCGUGAUGCGUGCAUCGCGGGGUUCGGACUGCGUUGUGGCAGACGUAAGAUAGGAGAACGGACUGGGAAGUCCGGCCGGAGAGAGUGAAAGCCUCGUAUCCGAAAUCCCAAGUCGCCUAGCAGGAUCCAGAGUAGGACGAGACACGAGAAACCUUGUCUGAACGAGCGGGGACCACCCCGUAAGGCUAAAUACUUCUUAGUGACCGAUAGCGCAUAGUACUGUGAAGGAAAGGUGAAAAGUACCCCGGGAGGGGAGUGAAAGAGAACCUGAAACCCUGUGUCUACAAGCUGUGGGACCUCUUUAUAUGAGGGACUGCGUACUUUUUGUAGAACGGUCCGGCGAGUUGUGCGUACUGGCGAGGUUAAGGACUUAAGGUCUGGAGCCGAAGUGAAAGCAAGCGUUAAUAGCGCGUCAAGUCAGUGAGUGCAGACCCGAAACCGGGUGACCUAUCCAUGUCCAGGUUGAAGCUUCCGUAAGAGGAAGUGGAGGACCGAACCCACAUCCGUUGAAAAGGGUGGGGAUGAGGUGUGGAUAGCGGAGAAAUUCCAAUCGAACCCGGAGAUAGCUGGUUCUCCUCGAAAUAGCUUUAGGGCUAGCCUCAUGAGAGUCUUAUGGAGGUAGAGCACUGAAUUGCCUAGGGGGCGUCAAAGCUUACCAAAGCAUAUCAAACUCCGAAUGCCAUCAAGAUGAUUCAUGGGAGUCAGACCAUACGAGAUAAGUUGGAUGGUCAAAAGGGAAAGAGCCCAGACCUACAGCUAAGGUCCCAAAGUACGUGUUAAGUGGAAAAGGAUGUGGGGAUUCUAAGACAACUAGGACGUUGGCUUAGAAGCAGCCAUUCAUUGAAAGAGUGCGUAAUAGCUCACUAGUCGAGAGUCCCUGCGCCGAAAAUGUCCGGGGCUGAAACACGACACCGAAGCUUAGGAAUGUGUAAACAUUGGUAGAGGAGCAUUGCUAGCGGGAUGAAGCCAUACCGUAAGGAGUGGUGGACUGCUAGGAAGAGAGAAUGCCGGAAUGAGUAGCGAGAUGAAGGUGAGAAUCCUUCAGGCCGAAUAUCUAAGGUUUCCAGAGUAAAGCUGAUCUGCUCUGGGUAAGUCGGGACCUAAGGCGAGGUCGAAAGACGUAGUCGAUGGAUAACAGGUUGAAAUUCCUGUACCGCAUAUAAACAGAACUGUGGGGACACAGACAGGGAAUGGAAUCCGGGAAUGGAUAUCCCGGUGCAAGCGAGGUAGGAGUGCUGUUGGCAAAUCCGCAGCACGAUCUGAAGACGUGACGCGUACCGAACAUAAGUAGGGAAGUCCAGGCCCCUGGCUGUCAAGAAAAGCCGCUAUCGUUUUAUAUGUGCCCGUACCGCAAACCGACACAGGUGGAUGAGGAGAGAAUCCUAAGGCCGACGGGAGAAGUAUUGUUAAGGAACUCGGCAAAAUGACUCCGUAACUUCGGGAGAAGGAGUGCCAUGAGAGUGGCCGCAGAGAAAUGGCCCAAGCAACUGUUUAGCAAAAACACAGGUCUAUGCAAAACCGCAAGGUGAAGUAUAUGGGCUGACGCCUGCCCGGUGCUGGAAGGUUAAGGGGAGAGGUUAGCGCAAGCGAAGCUUUGAACUUAAGCCCCAGUAAACGGCGGCCGUAACUAUAACGGUCCUAAGGUAGCGAAAUUCCUUGUCGGGUAAGUUCCGACCC